Molecule: long non-coding RNA, 389 nt
Filed under: Felis catus (domestic cat)
Lineage: Eukaryota; Metazoa; Chordata; Mammalia; Carnivora; Felidae
Description: lncRNA (ENSFCAG00000040434.2)
Source: RNAcentral
CCCCACACCGGAACUAGGCCCCCCGCCCGCUGUGAGUGAGCCCCCCGCUGCGUGGGCGGGCUGCUGCGCUGGCCGGAAGACAGGAGCCCCUGCCAUGCGUCCCCACUCCCCUGGGCCUGCAGUUCCAACCAAAGUGGCCCCCAGCUAAGAUUCCCGCAGAGAUUGAGGAAGAGCGGCAGAGUCUGGUACGUGAUAUGAGACGUCCUGCAUGAUUCCCAAAGACCUCCAGACAUCGGAGCACAUUCUUGCUUUUUGCUGGGGUGCAUGUUUUUGUCGGUUUCCACAGCCUCACAUCUGCAUCUCAGGGAGCAAUGCAUCAGGCUAUCAUUGGCACGGCAACUAGGUGGCCCAGUCAGAACAGCUCAUAGACACACAGCCUCUAUCCCUAC